UACGUAGGGUGCGAGCGUUGUCCGGAAUUAUUGGGCGUAAAGAGCUCGUAGGCGGUGUGCCACGUCGUUCGUGAAAACCUGCAGCUUAACUGUGGGCGUGCGGUCGAUACGGGCAUCACUGGAGUUCGGCAGGGGAGACUGGAAUUCCUGGUGUAGCGGUGAAAUGCGCAGAUAUCAGGAGGAACACCGAUGGCGAGGGCAGGUCUCUGGGCAUUAACUGACGCUGAGGAGCGAAAGCAUGGGGAGCGAACAGG
RNAcentral lists this ribosomal RNA (254 nucleotides) under uncultured bacterium. RNAcentral describes it as "partial 16S ribosomal RNA". It matches the Rfam family "Bacterial small subunit ribosomal RNA", at positions 524 to 776 of the family's 1533-position model. The record is from RNAcentral.